RNAcentral lists this ribosomal RNA (253 nucleotides) under uncultured bacterium. RNAcentral describes it as "partial 16S ribosomal RNA". It matches the Rfam family "Bacterial small subunit ribosomal RNA", at positions 524 to 776 of the family's 1533-position model. The record is from RNAcentral.
UACGGAGGGGGCUAGCGUUGUUCGGAAUUACUGGGCGUAAAGCGCACGUAGGCGGCUUUGUAAGUUAGAGGUGAAAGCCCGGAGCUCAACUCCGGAACUGCCUUUAAGACUGCAUCGCUUGAAUCAUGGAGAGGAGAGUGGAAUUCCUGGUGUAGCGGUGAAAUGCGCAGAUAUCAGGAAGAACACCUAUGGCGAAGGCAGCUCUCUGGGACGGUACUGACGCUGAGACGCGAAAGCGUGGGGAGCGAACAGG